Molecule: ribosomal RNA, 402 nt
Filed under: uncultured bacterium
Lineage: Bacteria
Description: bacterial SSU rRNA
Rfam family: Bacterial small subunit ribosomal RNA
Source: RNAcentral
UGGGGAAUAUUGGACAAUGGGCGCAAGCCUGAUCCAGCCAUGCCGCGUGAGUGAUGAAGGCCCUAGGGUUGUAAAGCUCUUUUGUGCGGGAAGAUAAUGACGGUACCGCAAGAAUAAGCCCCGGCUAACUUCGUGCCAGCAGCCGCGGUAAUACGAAGGGGGCUAGCGUUGCUCGGAAUCACUGGGCGUAAAGGGUGCGUAGGCGGGUCUUUAAGUCAGGGGUGAAAUCCUGGAGCUCAACUCCAGAACUGCCUUUGAUACUGAGGAUCUUGAGUUCGGGAGAGGUGAGUGGAACUGCGAGUGUAGAGGUGAAAUUCGUAGAUAUUCGCAAGAACACCAGUGGCGAAGGCGGCUCACUGACCCGAUACUGACGCUGAGGCACGAAAGCGUGGGGAGCAAACA